This 702-nucleotide ribosomal RNA is filed under the name uncultured archaeon. Its description in RNAcentral is "bacterial SSU rRNA". It matches the Rfam family "Archaeal small subunit ribosomal RNA", at positions 1 to 679 of the family's 1478-position model. The record is from RNAcentral.
UCCGGUUGAUCCUGCCGGACCCCACUGCUAUCGGGAUAGGACUAAGACAUGCUAGUCGUGCGCUCUUUGGCCAUGAAAAGAGCGCGUCUAAACAGGUCAGUAACAUGUGGCUAACCUGCCCUUGGGAUAGGAAUAACCCCGGGAAACUGGGGCUAAUUCCCAAUAGGUGAAGAACCCUGGAAAAAGUCUUCGCCAGAAAAGGCGCUUACGUCAUGCUCGUAGGCGUCGCCCAAGGAUGGGGCCGCAGCCGAUCAGGUUGUUGGUGAGGUAAUGGCUCACCAAGCCUAUAACCGGUACGGGCCGUGAGAGCGGGAGCCCGGAGAUGGGCACUGAGACAAGGGCCCAGGCCCUACGGGGCGCAGCAGUCGCGCAAACUUUGCAAUACACGAAAGUGUGACAGGGCUAUCCCGAGUGCCGCCCGCUGAGGGUGGCUUUUGCCAAGUAUAGCAAGCUUGGAGAAUAAGGAGAGGGCAAGUCUGGUGUCAGCCGCCGCGGUAAUACCAGCUCUCCGAGUGGUGUGGAUGUUUAUUGGGCCUAAAGCAUCCGUAGCUGGCUGUUCAAGUCCCCUGUUAAACCCAAUGAUUUAAUCGUUGGUCUGCGGGGGAUACUGUUCGGCUAGGGGGCGGGAGAGGCAGACGGAUUUCCGGGGUAGGGGUGAAAUCCUAUAAUCCCGGGAAGACCACCAGUGGCGAAAGCUGUCUG